AGUCAAUACAAAUAUCUUCACCAAGCUUUGGUCCACUCAUUGACUCUUGAUUGCUCGUUUAUAAAGAGAGAGCACUUCAAUGCAUAUAGGAAGAAAUUCAACAAAAAGGAGAUAUAAAAGCAGUUUGAGAAACUACAACUGACUCAUGAACAUAAGUCGGAUACGGAACUGGCAGCUACCGAUAGAAAUAGGCUUCUGACAGAAAAGAACAGGAAACACGCGGAUAUACCAGGUGAUUCCAACAGACCACGUCUUUAUAAGUUUUUGAAACCAGGCGAAUCUGAUUACAUCAAUGUGAUAUACAUCAAC
Molecule: long non-coding RNA, 309 nt
Organism: Mya arenaria
Lineage: Eukaryota; Metazoa; Mollusca; Bivalvia; Myida; Myidae
Exons: 3
Source: RefSeq, a predicted model, not a curated record